AAGCAACGCGAAGAACCUUACCAGGCCUUGACAUGCAGAGAACUUUCCAGAGAUGGAUUGGUGCCUUCGGGAACUCUGACACAGGUGCUGCAUGGCUGUCGUCAGCUCGUGUCGUGAGAUGUUGGGUUAAGUCCCGUAACGAGCGCAACCCUUGUCCUUAGUUACCAGCACGUUAUGGUGGGCACUCUAAGGAGACUGCCGGUGACAAACCGGAGGAAGGUGGGGAUGACGUCAAGUCAUCAUGGCCCCUACGGCCUGGGCUACACACGUGCUACAAUGGUCGGUACAAAGGGUUGCCAAGCCGCGAGGUGGAGCUAAUCCCAUAAAACCGAUCGUAGUCCGGAUCGCAGUCUGCAACUCGACUGCGUGAAGUCGGAAUCGCUAGUAAUCGUGAAUCAGAAUGUCACGGUGAAUACGUUCCCGGGCCUU
RNAcentral lists this ribosomal RNA (429 nucleotides) under uncultured Pseudomonas sp. Its description in RNAcentral is "bacterial SSU rRNA". It matches the Rfam family "Bacterial small subunit ribosomal RNA", at positions 954 to 1382 of the family's 1533-position model. Lineage: Bacteria; Pseudomonadati; Pseudomonadota; Gammaproteobacteria; Pseudomonadales; Pseudomonadaceae. The record is from RNAcentral.